This 850-nucleotide ribosomal RNA is filed under the name Pseudomonas sp. Its description in RNAcentral is "bacterial SSU rRNA". It matches the Rfam family "Bacterial small subunit ribosomal RNA", at positions 56 to 902 of the family's 1533-position model. Lineage: Bacteria; Pseudomonadati; Pseudomonadota; Gammaproteobacteria; Pseudomonadales; Pseudomonadaceae. The record is from RNAcentral.
UGCAGUCGAGCGGUAGAGAGAAGCUUGCUUCUCUUGAGAGCGGCGGACGGGUGAGUAAUGCCUAGGAAUCUGCCUGGUAGUGGGGGAUAACGUUCGGAAACGGACGCUAAUACCGCAUACGUCCUACGGGAGAAAGCAGGGGACCUUCGGGCCUUGCGCUAUCAGAUGAGCCUAGGUCGGAUUAGCUAGUUGGUGAGGUAAUGGCUCACCAAGGCGACGAUCCGUAACUGGUCUGAGAGGAUGAUCAGUCACACUGGAACUGAGACACGGUCCAGACUCCUACGGGAGGCAGCAGUGGGGAAUAUUGGACAAUGGGCGAAAGCCUGAUCCAGCCAUGCCGCGUGUGUGAAGAAGGUCUUCGGAUUGUAAAGCACUUUAAGUUGGGAGGAAGGGUUGUAGAUUAAUACUCUGCAAUUUUGACGUUACCGACAGAAUAAGCACCGGCUAACUCUGUGCCAGCAGCCGCGGUAAUACAGAGGGUGCAAGCGUUAAUCGGAAUUACUGGGCGUAAAGCGCGCGUAGGUGGUUUGUUAAGUUGGAUGUGAAAUCCCCGGGCUCAACCUGGGAACUGCAUUCAAAACUGACUGACUAGAGUAUGGUAGAGGGUGGUGGAAUUUCCUGUGUAGCGGUGAAAUGCGUAGAUAUAGGAAGGAACACCAGUGGCGAAGGCGACCACCUGGACUAAUACUGACACUGAGGUGCGAAAGCGUGGGGAGCAAACAGGAUUAGAUACCCUGGUAGUCCACGCCGUAAACGAUGUCAACUAGCCGUUGGAAGCCUUGAGCUUUUAGUGGCGCAGCUAACGCAUUAAGUUGACCGCCUGGGGAGUACGGCCGCAAGGUUAAAACUC